GAUGAAGAACGUAGCGAAAUGCGAUUAGUAAUGUGAAUUGCAGAAUUCAGUGAAUCAUCGAAUCUUUGAACGCACAUUGCGCCCCCUGGUAUUCCGGGGGGCAUGCCUGUCCGAGCGUCAUUACAACCCUCAAGCUCAGCUUGGUGUUGGGCCCCGCCGCCCCGGCGGGCCCUAAAGUCAGUGGCGGUGCCGUCCGGCUCCGAGCGUAGUAAUUCUUCUCGCUCUGGAGGUCCGGUCGUGUGCUCGCCAGCAACCCCCAAUUUUUUUCAGGUUGACCUCGGAUCAGGUAGGGAUACCCGCUGAACUUAAGCAUAUCAAUAAGCGGAGGA
RNAcentral lists this unclassified non-coding RNA (329 nucleotides) under soil metagenome. Its description in RNAcentral is "partial contains 5.8S ribosomal RNA, internal transcribed spacer 2, and large subunit ribosomal RNA". The stretch from base 1 to 120 matches the Rfam family "5.8S ribosomal RNA", at positions 35 to 154 of the family's 154-position model. The record is from RNAcentral.